RNAcentral lists this ribosomal RNA (497 nucleotides) under uncultured bacterium. RNAcentral describes it as "partial 16S ribosomal RNA". It matches the Rfam family "Bacterial small subunit ribosomal RNA", at positions 28 to 507 of the family's 1533-position model. The record is from RNAcentral.
GAUGAACGCUGGCGGCGUGCCUAAUACAUGCAAGUCGAGCGAACGGACGAGAAGCUUGCUGCGCUGAUGUUAGCGGCGGACGGGUGAGAAACACGUGUAUAACCUACCUAAAAGAGGGGGAAAACCUCGGGAAACCGGAGCAUAUACGGGAUAAUAUCAUGAACCGUAGGGUGCAAAAGUGAAAGACGGUCUUGCUGUAACUUAUAGAUGGAUCCGCGCUGCAUUAGCUAGUUGGUAAGGUAACGGCUUACCAAGGCAACGAUGCAUAGCCGACCGCAGAGAGGGAUCGGCCACACUGGAGCUGAGACAGCGUCCAGACUCCUACGGGAGGCCCCAGUAGGGAAUCUUCCGCAAUAGUCGGGAGCCUGACGGAGCGACGCCGCGUGAGUGGUGAAGGUCUUCGGAUCGUAAAACUCUGUUAUUGGGGAAGAACAUAUGUGUAAGUAACUGUACACAUCUUGACGGUACCGGAUCAAGAAGCCACGGCUAACUACGUG